UCGUGUUGUGAGAUGUUGGGUUAAGUCCCGCAACGAGCGCAACCCUUAUCCUUAGUUGCCAGCAGUUCGGCUGGGCACUCUAAGGAAACUGCCCGUGAUAAGCGGGAGGAAGGUGUGGAUGACGUCAAGUCCUCAUGGCCCUUACGGGUUGGGCUACACACGUGCUACAAUGGCAGGUACAGUGAGUUAAUCUCCAAAACCUGUCUCAGUUCGGAUUGGGGUCUGCAACUCGACCCCAUGAAGUCGGAAUCGCUAGUAAUCGCGUAACAGCAUGACGCGGUGAAUACGUUCCCGGGCCUU
Molecule: ribosomal RNA, 300 nt
Filed under: uncultured bacterium
Lineage: Bacteria
Description: bacterial SSU rRNA
Rfam family: Bacterial small subunit ribosomal RNA
Source: RNAcentral